Long non-coding RNA from Galleria mellonella (greater wax moth), 1535 nucleotides. RefSeq lists it as uncharacterized. The record is from RefSeq and is a predicted model, not a curated record. NCBI's taxonomy places the organism in Eukaryota, Metazoa, Arthropoda, Insecta, Lepidoptera, Pyralidae. The transcript has 5 exons.
GGACGGCCGGACCGUGCCGUACCUCUACGGGCACGGGACGGGACGGGACCAGUGGGAUAUUGUACGAGUAGGAGCGGGACAGUUCGCUUCGUUGACUAUUCAUAAUAAAAAUAACGCCUUAUAAAUAUUAAUGAAAAUAAUUUUACAAUACAUUCGAAACGAAAUGAGAAGUGUUAAAUUUGACGUUGUCAUCUAUUUGCAUGCAAUAUGUUCCAAAACAUAUCGUUUUCAAUUAAAGUUUUUUUUUUAAAGUGAAAUGAUCGAAAACGGUUUAAGUUAAGCCUGAUGAUGUUAUUCUGCUAUUUCAAGUUUCCCAUGUUCGUAUAUUAACGGGAAUUAAAUAAUGUUAUUGUAAUUUUUUCAUAUCGGAGUUUUAUAAGUUAUGUUUUGCGAUUUCUCCAAGUAGCAGGUAGGUAACAUAGAAUAAUUACGAAUAUUUAAUAUUUUGCGGAAGUAUCACCAGUAUUCGGAAAUGACAAAAACUGUGAGAAAACAAAAGGUCACGACCCGGUACAAGGUCAAGACAUCAGAAAUCUAGAUAGAGCCGACGUGUCCCAAACCGUGGGAACAGCAGACAAUGGCUUUUGUAACACAAUCCAUAAAUUUUCUUACAUAAUUGUGGCAAUUAAAAGUUUUACGUUACAUCGGCGGAUCCAACUGUACAUGAUCUCGUAGUAACACGCGUGGAUUAAUCCUGACAUAUUUUAGAAGCAAUCCUAAGGCCCGGAUACAAAAUGGUUUGGAAUAAUGCUCUUGACCUCUGGUCCCGUUGCGUCCGGUUCCUAUAGUGGCCAAUAGGUCACAAGAGCUAUUAACCCACACCUGCCUGAAUUUUUGGUAUCGUUGCAUGUGAUCAGAUGGAUCGGGAAGCAUUACUUUCUCUCGAUUAAAAAGACACAGUAUCCAAAGACUGGUAGAAAGAUUUACUGACAGAAACUGAGAGCUAGUUAAUGGAGUGGCCUCAUCAUAUAUUAAGAAGAUUUACACCUGACAUCCAAACAGCAGAUUAGAUUAUUCUUCUAUAAAGAACAGAUUGCCAAUUAGCAGACUGGAAAUAAAAAUUGUAUUGAUAUUAUUAUUUUUUAAAUUUAUGCGAGCUACAGUUCGCAGUGCAAGAUGAGUCGCUGAGACGUAAAGCGCCAUACGCCUGAAGAACUUCCAGAUGAAAUAAAAAAAAAUUGUCAGAAACGAAAAAUAAAUAUUCUUUAUUUCCACUUGUAAGUUACAUAUAAAAUAAUGUAUUUAUAAAUGUUGUGAGCAAGGGUGGAUUUAUCUCUGACAGAGAUCUCUUCCAGGCAACCCAGUACAGUAAGAAAGCAUUUCGUCAGCGGGCAGCUGAAGUGCUACAACUAUUAAUACAUAAACAAUACACCAUUAUCCGUCCACUGCUGGACAUAGGCCUUCCCUAUAGACUGCCAUAAGGAACGGUAAGAAGCCACCUGCAUGCAUAAGGUGUUCAUUAUGCAUUGAAUAAUAAUCUAAACUUUAUUUGUUUACUAAUUUUCUUUGAAAUUCAUUUAGCCAUUAAAGUGCAA